GGUCUCACUUUGACAUCGCAUGUGCUAAAAUUAGAAUGAUACAGAGAAUAUCUGCAAAAGAAUGACAUGCAAAUUUGUGAAGCAAUCUAAUAUCUU
Ictidomys tridecemlineatus (thirteen-lined ground squirrel) is the source of this 96-nucleotide small nuclear RNA. The record is from Ensembl. Lineage: Eukaryota; Metazoa; Chordata; Mammalia; Rodentia; Sciuridae.